AGAGUUUGAUCCUGGCUCAGAAUCAACGCUGGCGGCGCGCUUAACACAUGCAAGUCGAACGAGAAAGGGGAGCAAUCCCUGAGUAAAGUGGCGUACGGGUGAGUAACACGUGGGUAAUCUACCUUUUGGUGGGGGAUAACGCUGGGAAACCGGCGCUAAUACCGCAUAAGCUCGCCAUUAUAAAGAUGGUGAGGAAAAGAGAAAUCUGCCGAAAGAGGAGCCCGCGGCUGAUUAGCUAGUUGGUGAGGUAAAGGCUCCCCAAGGCAAUGAUCGGUAGCCGGCCUGAGAGGGCACACGGCCACACUGGCACUGAAACACGGGCCAGACUCCUACGGGAGGCAGCAGUGGGGAAUCUUGCACAAUGGGGGAAACCCUGAUGCAGCGACGCCGCGUGAAUGAUGAAGCCCUUCGGGGUGUAAAGUUCUUUCGGCAGGGACGAUAAUGACGGUACCUGAAGAAGAAGCUGCGGCUAACUACGUGCCAGCAGCCGCGGUAAUACGUAGGCAGCGAGCGUUGUUCGGAGUUACUGGGCGUAAAGAGUGCGUAGGCGGUUUUCUAAGUUUGGUGUGAAAUCUCCCGGCUCAACUGGGAGGGUGCGCCGAAGACUGGGAGGCUUGAGUAUGGGAGAGGUAAGCGGAAUUCCUGGUGUAGCGGUGAAAUGCGUAGAUAUCAGGAGGAACACCUGCGGUGUAGACGGCUUACUGGACCAUAACUGACGCUGAGGCACGAAAGCGUGGGUAGCAAACAGGAUUAGAUACCCUAGUAGUCC
RNAcentral lists this ribosomal RNA (769 nucleotides) under uncultured bacterium. RNAcentral describes it as "bacterial SSU rRNA". It matches the Rfam family "Bacterial small subunit ribosomal RNA", at positions 8 to 796 of the family's 1533-position model. The record is from RNAcentral.